UACGUAGGCGGCUAGAAAAGUUAGAAGUCAAAGGCUAUAGCUCAACUAUAGUAAGCUUCUAAAACUAUUUAGCUUGAGAAAUGGAAGGGAAAGUGGAAUUCCUAGUGUAGCGGUGGAAUGCGCAGAUAUUAGGAAGAAUACCGGUGGCGAAGGCGACUUUCUGGCCAUUAUCUGACGCUGAGGUACGAAAGCGUGGGUAGCAAACA
This 206-nucleotide ribosomal RNA is filed under the name uncultured Anaerococcus sp. Its description in RNAcentral is "partial 16S ribosomal RNA". It matches the Rfam family "Bacterial small subunit ribosomal RNA", at positions 568 to 774 of the family's 1533-position model. Lineage: Bacteria; Bacillati; Bacillota; Tissierellia; Tissierellales; Peptoniphilaceae. The record is from RNAcentral.